Macaca fascicularis (crab-eating macaque) is the source of this 1971-nucleotide long non-coding RNA. The record is from Ensembl. Lineage: Eukaryota; Metazoa; Chordata; Mammalia; Primates; Cercopithecidae.
CCGGAUCACAGCUGCCUGAGGCUUCUAGGGUUUCAUCCUACACCUCCCUUCCCCGCACCCGCACCCCAGGAGAUGCUAGACACACACUGGCAUUGACAGAGCUGUCUACCCCACGGCAGGCCACCCCCUUUGACAAGUUGUGAUUAAUUCUGAGAGUGGAGGAUCAGGGUAAACAGGUUAGGGUGUCUCCGGUUGGCUGGCUGGCAAGACCAUUCGGUCAUAAUGUGAACUGGGAAACCCCGACUGGUCGGGGGUUACCGCUUGGGGCCAGGUGUUUCCCUGGGCCCGGAGUAGUUGCACACGUGGAGGGCAUGGAACCCCUCGCCUCAGGGUGACGCCGAAGAAGUUGGCCCCAACUCCAGACCCACAUGACUGUCCAGCUGACUCACCAGCCUGAGAAAAGGAAACAGAAGAGGAAAACCCAGAUUUGAGGCCAGGGGAUGGAACAUGGAGAAACACGACAAAGGAGAAGCUUAAAGCAGAACAGACCACAGCCAAGGAGAUGUCUCUGAGUUGGAAGGAGAACACCACCAUUUUCUUCAAAAUAUUUUAUUGCCAUGUAGAGAUGACCCAACGAGAGAAACUGAGGCCCGAGCCAAACAGCCUCCACGGAGUAUCCAGUUUGCAUCUUCCAGCUGUCCCAGCAUCUCAGCCUGCACCAAGUUAAGCAGAACGUCUUGGUAAAGCCUCAAGUUAAUUACUCGUCUGGGGGCUGCACUCUUCCCCAUUUGGCACUCUCUUGAAGGAAUCUUUGGUUUACCCUCUAGCAAUAAAACUGCCACCCACUUCUCAGAGGUCCCGAGGACCACUUGGUGCCGGAGGAGGCUGGCUCUGCCUUGGAGAACCAAUGGAGGGGAUCUUUUCCCCACUCCACAUUCGGUAACUUGAAAUUGGCCAGGACAGGCGCAUGUCCACCAUGAAAACUGGUGGAUGUUUUUCCCUUGGAGAACCAGUUGUCGAACAUUUCCCAGCACACCAUUGCCCUGAGCCCUGAAAUGUGCCUGGGCAACCUCACCGCACCCUCCUACUACAGCCUCGGACACAGUGGUUCUCAAACUCAGAUGUAUAGAACCCACCCAAGGGACUUGCACACUUCGCAAAUACUCACCCUCCUUGUCGCUCAUCUUCCAGCCAUAACCGGGACAUGGUAGGAACUCAAGAAAUGCUUCUUGAGUGAAAAAAUGAACACGACUUUAAGGUGGGUAGUAGUAUCAUCUGCAUUUUACAGAUGAGGAAACCAAGGCACAAAAUUGUUGGAAAAAAAAAAAGUUGCCCAAGGUAGCAUAGCUAGUAGGUACAGGAGUCAAGUGCAGGUCUGUCUGGCCCAGACAAAUGCACAUAGUGGACUGAAAGAUCCCAGGCGAUGGCCCUGCAGAGUCCCAGUGCCUGGUCCCACCUAACAGCGAUGGCGGGUCCCACCUACCAUCACGGCUGGCUUAUUAUCAGCAAUCAUUUUGGCCCAGCCAUGAUGGUGCCCUUAGUGAGCUCAGGGCAGUGGACUUACACAUUGUGAACUGACUACGGGACAAUGCCUGAACUGUGCAGCAAACAUGACUAUGAGGCAGUAUCACGUGAAAUUUUGGAGAAUGGGUUUGGGGUCUAAAAGCACUGGGUUCACAUACCACCUAGGCACCUCAAUUUCCUCAUAUGCAAAAGAGGACUUAUUCCUUAGGUUAGUCAAUUUGUUGACUUAAAAAUAUUUGUGUAGUACCUACUCAGCCAUAUACUACAGGCAAAACAGGCUUCAUGGCCCCUGUCUUUCUGGAGGUUAAGAAAUUCUGAAUAAUACAAAACAUGAUGCAUUUUCAAACUCAACCCCUGGCAUGUACAAAGUGCUUGUCUUAAUCAGAAUUCCUAGUAAAUAACCGUAAGUUCUGUGGAUGCAGAGGCUGCACCCAUCGUGAUAAUUGCUGUAUUUCUAGUUCCUGGCACAUAAUUGAUGCCCAAUAAGUUUUUCUUGCAUACAUUAAA